CCUACGGGGGGCAGCAGUGGGGAAUAUUGGACAAUGGGGGCAACCCUGAUCCAGCCAUGCCGCGUGUGUGAAGAAGGCCCUCGGGUUGUAAAGCACUUUCAGUGAGGAAGAACGCCUGGUGGUUAAUACCCAUCAGGAAAGACAUCACUCACAGAAGAAGCACCGGCUAACUCCGUGCCAGCAGCCGCGGGUAAUACGGAGGGUGCGAGCGUUAAUCGGAAUUACUGGGCGUAAAGCGCGCGUAGGUGGCUUGAUAAGCCGGUUGUGAAAGCCCCGGGCUCAACCUGGGAACGGCAUCCGGAACUGUCAAGCUAGAGUGCAGGAGAGGAAGGUAGAAUUCCCGGUGUAGCGGUGAAAUGCGUAGAGAUCGGGAGGAAUACCAGUGGCGAAGGCGGCCUUCUGGACUGACACUGACACUGAGGUGCGAAAGCGUGGGUAGCAAACAGGAUUAGAUACCCGAGUAGUC
RNAcentral lists this ribosomal RNA (466 nucleotides) under Vreelandella stevensii. RNAcentral describes it as "partial 16S ribosomal RNA". It matches the Rfam family "Bacterial small subunit ribosomal RNA", at positions 338 to 795 of the family's 1533-position model. The record is from RNAcentral. Lineage: Bacteria; Pseudomonadati; Pseudomonadota; Gammaproteobacteria; Oceanospirillales; Halomonadaceae.